RNAcentral lists this ribosomal RNA (414 nucleotides) under uncultured microorganism. RNAcentral's name for it is "bacterial SSU rRNA". It matches the Rfam family "Archaeal small subunit ribosomal RNA", at positions 459 to 872 of the family's 1478-position model. The record is from RNAcentral.
CAGCCGCCGCGGUAAUACCGGCGGCCCGAGUGGCGGUCACUAUUAUUGGGCUUAAAGCGUCCGUAGCCGGGUUGGGAAGUCCUCCGGGAAAUCUGGCCGCUUAACGGUCAGAAUGCCGGAGGAUACUCCCAGCCUAGGGAGCGGGAGAGGCCGAGGGGAUUCCCGGGGUAGGGGUGAAAUCCUAUAAUCCCGGGAGGACCACCUGUGGCGAAGGCGCUCGGCUGGAACGGGUCCGACGGUGAGGGACGAAGGCCAGGGGAGCAAACCGGAUUAGAUACCCGGGUAGUCCUGGCUGUAAACGAUGCGGACUUUGUGUCGGACAAGCUAUGAGCUUGUCCGGUGCCGGAGGGAAACCGUUAAGUCCGCCGCCUGGGGAGUACGGCCGCAAGGCUGAAACUUAAAGGAAUUGGCGGG